UACGAAGGGUGCUAGCGUUGUUCGGAAUUACUGGGCGUAAAGCGCGCGUAGGCGGCUUAGCAAGUCAGGGGUGAAAUCCCACAGCUCAACUGUGGAAUUGCCUUUGAAACUGCUAAGCUUGAGUGUCGGAGGGGAUAGCGGAAUUGCUAAUGUAGAGGUGAAAUUCGUAGAUAUUAGCAGGAACACCGGUGGCGAAGGCGGCUAUCUGGACGACAACUGACGCUGAGGCGCGAAAGCGUGGGGAUCAAACAGG
Molecule: ribosomal RNA, 253 nt
Filed under: uncultured bacterium
Lineage: Bacteria
Description: partial 16S ribosomal RNA
Rfam family: Bacterial small subunit ribosomal RNA
Source: RNAcentral